UCGUGUAUGUUCGGAGAAAAAUUCGGUCGUUUGACGUGAAUGACAAGAAUGACACGAAUGUUCCCGCUUUUUUUGCGUUUGUUGUUGGUUGUUUACUUUUGUAAAAAAGCUCCAACUAAUUUGAUCGAUUAUUGCGAUUAUCGCGAUUAUACUCAACUUUCCUUUGUUUCUUUGUGAAAUAUUGACCAUAUUGUUGCUUAUAGUGUUUUAAAAUAAUACCUGAAAAGCUGUAUUAAUUCCAAUUCAGCGAUUUUAGCUGUAAAGAUGGAUUCUAUUUAAAACCAUCAGAAUCAGGACCAAACUAUCAACAAAAAUAUGUGCCACUUAUGCAGUAAAAUGUUUUAUUCCAUUUCAGCUAAAAACAAACAUAUUAAGGUUAUUCAUAAGCAGCAGCUCCCAGAUAACCCAAAGUCACACAUUUCUUGUCCCUUAUGCAAAGAGAUUAAGUAUUCUUGUGAGACUUAUAAAAGACUUAAAGCUCAUUUACAGGUAAGUCAUGAUAUCAAAAUAGAGUCCUCAACUUUCCAUUUUUCCAGUGAAGAAAGAUUUGAGGAAUGGUUAAGAGAGCAUAAAAUAAGCACAAACUAUGCACUUGUUCGCACAAGGAAAAUUGAAGACAAGAUUGAAAAAGUAUAUUGUUGCAAUCAAAGCAAUUUUAGAGGUAAAUUUGUAGCAAUUUCAAUUCUAGCAAAGUAUUUAUUACAUACUGUACAUAUUCAUUGUACUAUUUAGUGAAGGAUUGUUAAACAUGUACUUAAUGUGUAGCUGGUGCAGGUAACAUUAUAUAGUCCUUUAGGGUAUCUACACAAGGGGCCUGGAUGAUCACCAGUAGCAUGGCUGUAAGCCUUAUUUUUGUAUUGUCUUUAUGGUGUGUGAGCAAAGGAAGAGAAGCGAUUCUGUUUUAGGGGAACUCCUUGGGGAAUGUUCUUCCAAUAAUAUUGAAGCUAGCCAUAGUCUAGAAAUUGAAAUGUUUGUUAAUGAGAAGACGACUGAAAAUCAACAAGUAGCAGUACAACGAUUGAACAAGCAAUCAACAAGAGAAAUUGAAAGCAUAUCAAACUUUUUAAGAUCUUUAAAUGAUGAAACUUAUGAUAAGUGCAUGAGACAACUGACAUGGAUGAUGGAACAAAUAAAUAAGACAAAUACAAGUAAAUGAAAAAUGGACAAACAAGUUUAUUUUCCAUCAAAAAAGAAGAAGGAGCAGUAAAUAAAAAUAAUAAAUUGUAUAUUUUUUUCUAAUUAUCAGUAUUUUUUUUAUAUAAUAGUAGGUAUAUUUUUAUAGGUUUAAGUAUGUAUGUAUACGUGUAUUAUAAUUUUUUAUGUAAGUUUUAGGCAAAUAUUUGAAAAAAGAUUACCUAUCUCAUAAGUUUCUUGUAGUUUCUUCUUAUGAGUAUUAAUCGAAACUGUGAAUUAUUGUAAAUUAGUAUUUUAGCAUAAAAUAAUUAAGUUUCUUUUCAAAUCAGUCAUAUACAUGUCUUUGCAGCAUUUAUAAAAUAAAACUUUUAAUAUAUGGUACAUUUAUAUAACAGUAUAACUAGUUAAA
This is a long non-coding RNA of Anthonomus grandis grandis, 1543 nucleotides long. RefSeq lists it as uncharacterized. NCBI's taxonomy places the organism in Eukaryota, Metazoa, Arthropoda, Insecta, Coleoptera, Curculionidae. The record is from RefSeq and is a predicted model, not a curated record. The transcript is spliced from 2 exons.